This 254-nucleotide ribosomal RNA is filed under the name uncultured bacterium. RNAcentral describes it as "partial 16S ribosomal RNA". It matches the Rfam family "Bacterial small subunit ribosomal RNA", at positions 524 to 776 of the family's 1533-position model. The record is from RNAcentral.
UACGUAGGUGGCAAGCGUUGUCCGGAAUUAUUGGGCGUAAAGCGCGCGCAGGCGGUCCUUUAAGUCUGAUGUGAAAGCCCACGGCUCAACCGUGGAGGGUCAUUGGAAACUGGGGGACUUGAGUGCAGGAGAGAAGAGUGGAAUUCCACGUGUAGCGGUGAAAUGCGUAGAUAUCGGGAGGAACACCAGUGGCGAAGGCGACUACCUGGCCUGUUUCUUGACGCUGAGGCGCGAAAGCUAGGGGAGCAAACGGG